This 2930-nucleotide ribosomal RNA is filed under the name Escherichia coli. RNAcentral's name for it is "23S ribosomal RNA". It matches the Rfam family "Bacterial large subunit ribosomal RNA". Lineage: Bacteria; Pseudomonadati; Pseudomonadota; Gammaproteobacteria; Enterobacterales; Enterobacteriaceae. The record is from RNAcentral.
GGGUUGUGAGGUUAAGCGACUAAGCGUACACGGUGGAUGCCCUGGCAGUCAGAGGCGAUGAAGGACGUGCUAAUCUGCGAUAAGCGUCGGUAAGGUGAUAUGAACCGUUAUAACCGGCGAUUUCCGAAUGGGGAAACCCAGUGUGUUUCGACACACUAUCAUUAACUGAAUCCAUAGGUUAAUGAGGCGAACCGGGGGAACUGAAACAUCUAAGUACCCCGAGGAAAAGAAAUCAACCGAGAUUCCCCCAGUAGCGGCGAGCGAACGGGGAGCAGCCCAGAGCCUGAAUCAGUGUGUGUGUUAGUGGAAGCGUCUGGAAAGGCGCGCGAUACAGGGUGACAGCCCCGUACACAAAAAUGCACAUGCUGUGAGCUCGAUGAGUAGGGCGGGACACGUGGUAUCCUGUCUGAAUAUGGGGGGACCAUCCUCCAAGGCUAAAUACUCCUGACUGACCGAUAGUGAACCAGUACCGUGAGGGAAAGGCGAAAAGAACCCCGGCGAGGGGAGUGAAAAAGAACCUGAAACCGUGUACGUACAAGCAGUGGGAGCCUCUUUUAUGGGGUGACUGCGUACCUUUUGUAUAAUGGGUCAGCGACUUAUAUUCUGUAGCAAGGUUAACCGAAUAGGGGAGCCGAAGGGAAACCGAGUCUUAACUGGGCGUUAAGUUGCAGGGUAUAGACCCGAAACCCGGUGAUCUAGCCAUGGGCAGGUUGAAGGUUGGGUAACACUAACUGGAGGACCGAACCGACUAAUGUUGAAAAAUUAGCGGAUGACUUGUGGCUGGGGGUGAAAGGCCAAUCAAACCGGGAGAUAGCUGGUUCUCCCCGAAAGCUAUUUAGGUAGCGCCUCGUGAAUUCAUCUCCGGGGGUAGAGCACUGUUUCGGCAAGGGGGUCAUCCCGACUUACCAACCCGAUGCAAACUGCGAAUACCGGAGAAUGUUAUCACGGGAGACACACGGCGGGUGCUAACGUCCGUCGUGAAGAGGGAAACAACCCAGACCGCCAGCUAAGGUCCCAAAGUCAUGGUUAAGUGGGAAACGAUGUGGGAAGGCCCAGACAGCCAGGAUGUUGGCUUAGAAGCAGCCAUCAUUUAAAGAAAGCGUAAUAGCUCACUGGUCGAGUCGGCCUGCGCGGAAGAUGUAACGGGGCUAAACCAUGCACCGAAGCUGCGGCAGCGACGCUUAUGCGUUGUUGGGUAGGGGAGCGUUCUGUAAGCCUGCGAAGGUGUGCUGUGAGGCAUGCUGGAGGUAUCAGAAGUGCGAAUGCUGACAUAAGUAACGAUAAAGCGGGUGAAAAGCCCGCUCGCCGGAAGACCAAGGGUUCCUGUCCAACGUUAAUCGGGGCAGGGUGAGUCGACCCCUAAGGCGAGGCCGAAAGGCGUAGUCGAUGGGAAACAGGUUAAUAUUCCUGUACUUGGUGUUACUGCGAAGGGGGGACGGAGAAGGCUAUGUUGGCCGGGCGACGGUUGUCCCGGUUUAAGCGUGUAGGCUGGUUUUCCAGGCAAAUCCGGAAAAUCAAGGCUGAGGCGUGAUGACGAGGCACUACGGUGCUGAAGCAACAAAUGCCCUGCUUCCAGGAAAAGCCUCUAAGCAUCAGGUAACAUCAAAUCGUACCCCAAACCGACACAGGUGGUCAGGUAGAGAAUACCAAGGCGCUUGAGAGAACUCGGGUGAAGGAACUAGGCAAAAUGGUGCCGUAACUUCGGGAGAAGGCACGCUGAUAUGUAGGUGAAGUCCCUCGCGGAUGGAGCUGAAAUCAGUCGAAGAUACCAGCUGGCUGCAACUGUUUAUUAAAAACACAGCACUGUGCAAACACGAAAGUGGACGUAUACGGUGUGACGCCUGCCCGGUGCCGGAAGGUUAAUUGAUGGGGUCAGCGCAAGCGAAGCUCUUGAUCGAAGCCCCGGUAAACGGCGGCCGUAACUAUAACGGUCCUAAGGUAGCGAAAUUCCUUGUCGGGUAAGUUCCGACCUGCACGAAUGGCGUAAUGAUGGCCAGGCUGUCUCCACCCGAGACUCAGUGAAAUUGAACUCGCUGUGAAGAUGCAGUGUACCCGCGGCAAGACGGAAAGACCCCGUGAACCUUUACUAUAGCUUGACACUGAACAUUGAGCCUUGAUGUGUAGGAUAGGUGGGAGGCUUUGAAGUGUGGACGCCAGUCUGCAUGGAGCCGACCUUGAAAUACCACCCUUUAAUGUUUGAUGUUCUAACGUUGACCCGUGAUCCGGGUUGCGGACAGUGUCUGGUGGGUAGUUUGACUGGGGCGGUCUCCUCCUAAAGAGUAACGGAGGAGCACGAAGGUUGGCUAAUCCUGGUCGGACAUCAGGAGGUUAGUGCAAUGGCAUAAGCCAGCUUGACUGCGAGCGUGACGGCGCGAGCAGGUGCGAAAGCAGGUCAUAGUGAUCCGGUGGUUCUGAAUGGAAGGGCCAUCGCUCAACGGAUAAAAGGUACUCCGGGGAUAACAGGCUGAUACCGCCCAAGAGUUCAUAUCGACGGCGGUGUUUGGCACCUCGAUGUCGGCUCAUCACAUCCUGGGGCUGAAGUAGGUCCCAAGGGUAUGGCUGUUCGCCAUUUAAAGUGGUACGCGAGCUGGGUUUAGAACGUCGUGAGACAGUUCGGUCCCUAUCUGCCGUGGGCGCUGGAGAACUGAGGGGGGCUGCUCCUAGUACGAGAGGACCGGAGUGGACGCAUCACUGGUGUUCGGGUUGUCAUGCCAAUGGCACUGCCCGGUAGCUAAAUGCGGAAGAGAUAAGUGCUGAAAGCAUCUAAGCACGAAACUUGCCCCGAGAUGAGUUCUCCCUGACUCCUUGAGAGUCCUGAAGGAACGUUGAAGACGACGACGUUGAUAGGCCGGGUGUGUAAGCGCAGCGAUGCGUUGAGCUAACCGGUACUAAUGAACCGUGAGGCUUAACCUUACAACGCCGAAGCUGUU